This 326-nucleotide RNase P RNA is filed under the name Paludibacteraceae bacterium. Its description in RNAcentral is "RNase P RNA component class A". It matches the Rfam family "Bacterial RNase P class A". Rfam says of the family: Ribonuclease P (RNase P) is a ubiquitous endoribonuclease, found in archaea, bacteria and eukarya as well as chloroplasts and mitochondria. The record is from RNAcentral. Lineage: Bacteria; Pseudomonadati; Bacteroidota; Bacteroidia; Bacteroidales; Paludibacteraceae.
AUAGCAAGUCGGUCUAUCGCAACCGAAAGGAAGAAAGCCGUGAUUUCAGUCAAGGGGCUUAAUCCCGUCGGUUGAGGAAAGUCCGGGCAGCACAGAGCACCACAGCGGUUAACGGCCGUCAGGCAGCAAUGUUUGGUCACUGCUACAGAGACGAGAGAUGUGAAACGAGUAUACUGUGGGCUGCAAUUCCAUGUAAACCGGCGUCUGAGCGUUGCUCGCGCAAGCCGGAGGGUAGGAAGCGAUGAAGGGCGUGGCAACACGUUGCUCAAGAUUAAUGAUAGACGCCCGAAAGGGUACAGAACCCGGCUUAUAGACUUGCUGUUUUU